AGUGAACGCUGGCGGUAGGCCUAACACAUGCAAGUCGAACGGCAGCACAGUAAGAGCUUGCUCUUACGGGUGGCGAGUGGCGGACGGGUGAGGAAUACAUCGGAAUCUACUUUUUCGUGGGGGAUAACGUAGGGAAACUUACGAUAAUACCGCAUACGACCUACGGGUGAAAGCAGGGGAUCUUCUGACCUUGCGCGAUUGAAUGAGCCGAGGCUGGAUUGGUUGGUGGGGGGGGUAAAGGCCAACCAGGUGGAGGAUCGGUAGCUGGUCUGGGAGAAUGAUCAGCCACACUGGAACUGAGACACGGUCAAGACUCCUACGGGAGGCAGCAGUGGGGAAUAUUGGACAAUGGGCGCAAGCCUGAUCCAGCCAUACCGCGUGGGUGAAGAAGGCCUUCGGGUUGUAAAGCCCUUUUGUUGGGAAAGAAAAGCAGCAGGUUAAUACCCCGCUGUUCUGACGGUACCCAAAGAAUAAGCACCGGCUAACUUCGUG
Molecule: ribosomal RNA, 492 nt
Filed under: uncultured bacterium
Lineage: Bacteria
Description: partial 16S ribosomal RNA
Rfam family: Bacterial small subunit ribosomal RNA
Source: RNAcentral